UUUGACCACUUGGGGAGCCGCCGGCUGAGAGUGAACGUUAUGUUCUGACCCGUUGAACCUGUUAAGUUAAAGCUUACGUAGGGAUGUGGCGAUGGAUUCAA
This 101-nucleotide non-coding RNA is filed under the name Metabacillus indicus. RNAcentral's name for it is "Bacillus cibi TPP sequence". It matches the Rfam family "TPP riboswitch aptamer (THI element)". From Rfam's summary of the family: Vitamin B(1) in its active form thiamin pyrophosphate (TPP) is an essential coenzyme that is synthesised by coupling of pyrimidine and thiazole moieties in bacteria. The previously detected thiamin-regulatory element, thi box was extended, resulting in a new, highly conserved RNA secondary structure, the THI element, which is widely distributed in eubacteria and also occurs in some archaea. Lineage: Bacteria; Bacillati; Bacillota; Bacilli; Caryophanales; Bacillaceae. The record is from Rfam by way of RNAcentral.